GCCUUAGUGGUGUAAGAGCAACACACUCGGCGCAUAUUCGAGAGGUCCAGGUUCGAGUCCCGACGAGGGCA
Molecule: transfer RNA, 71 nt
Filed under: Stegodyphus mimosarum
Lineage: Eukaryota; Metazoa; Arthropoda; Arachnida; Araneae; Eresidae
Rfam family: tRNA
About the family: Transfer RNA (tRNA) molecules are approximately 80 nucleotides in length. Their secondary structure includes four short double-helical elements and three loops (D, anti-codon, and T loops). Further hydrogen bonds mediate the characteristic L-shaped molecular structure. tRNAs have two regions of fundamental functional importance: the anti-codon, which is responsible for specific mRNA codon recognition, and the 3' end, to which the tRNAs corresponding amino acid is attached (by aminoacyl-tRNA synthetases). tRNAs cope with the degeneracy of the genetic code in two manners: having more than one tRNA (with a specific anti-codon) for a particular amino acid; and 'wobble' base-pairing, i.e. permitting non-standard base-pairing at the 3rd anti-codon position.
Source: Rfam by way of RNAcentral